RNAcentral lists this long non-coding RNA (1455 nucleotides) under Sus scrofa (pig). RNAcentral describes it as "lncRNA (ENSSSCG00005024170.1)". The stretch from base 497 to 629 matches the Rfam family "Small nucleolar RNA SNORA61". The record is from RNAcentral. Lineage: Eukaryota; Metazoa; Chordata; Mammalia; Artiodactyla; Suidae.
CUUUUUCGAGGUGGCCGCCUGGGUGUAGUGAAGGCUGCUGCAGUUCUCUGCCUGCUGCGGUUCACGCCGUACUCUUCCUUAGUCUCGCUGCCACCCGCACUGCGCUCCUUUGGGUUGCCUCACGAUGCUACGGAAUGUUGAGCGCGGCACCAAGGCCCAGUGAGAGGGGCCGGACCCCUUGAAGGCCGCGCCCUGCUCCAGCCUGGCCCCGAGCGGCCCUGCGCUCCAGUGUGAUGGAACGUCCCAGCAGGUGAAUUGGUGAUAGUCGUAAUGCACGUGAUUUAGGUCUGCCAUUGAAGAGUCCAGGCUGACUGAAGUUGACCUUUCCAGUGAGGGAAGACUCAGGUCAUGACACUGAUGGAACACAGUAUUCUGAGGACCCGGUUACCCCUGGGUUUUAUUGGCAGUUCCCGAAAGUGCUGAAGUAUCUGAAGACACCAGCUUUUCCUGGAGCUGUGCUUUACACUAAGGUAAGUUGGAUGAUGAAGACGGCCUGACCCUCCGGUUCCCUUUCCCAUCGGAUCUGAACACUGGUCUUGGUGGUCGUAAGAGGAGGAAUAACAGUACUGAAGCUGUCCUUACGGGGCCUGUAGUCUUCUACAGAGCAUGUGGGCUAGUUUCAGACAAGGUUGAAUUCUCUUGGAACUUCUUUUACAGGGAGAUCCCUGUAUAAUGAGAUAAACUUAGGCUUACGGAGAGGCUGUAUGUAAAACGUUGGGCGGUUGGUAUAGUGACUGCUGAAUAGUUCUGUAUUUGGGAGGGAUUUAUCAAUAGCUUUUUAGUCUCUUGACUGAGUGUUCCUUUUUUUUAUCCUCCUAAGAUUUUUUAUCAGUAAAGCUGUCAUCCAUCUCUGAUUGUGGAUCUACAGUUGGGUGAGUUAAAUGUCUACCUGAAGUUUUAUCACAACUUUAUUGCAGCUUCCAGAAGUUUUUGACUGCUAUGACCCUAAGCAGUGUAGCAAAGGCUAUUCAGGUCUGGUUUUUUUUAAAUCUUAUUUUUUAAAUAUAGCAUUUAUACCUGGCCUGCCUUGCCUUGUCUGGCUUAUUUGUUGGCUUUCACAACUGGGGGACAAACAAAUGCGUACAAGGGAGUUCCCAAUGUGGUUCAGGGGUUAAGAACCUUGGCUUGAGCUCAUGCCUCUCCUGUGGGAGGGUGGGAGAGUAGCUCAGGGUAUUUUUUCCAGGCUGUGACUGGUCCAGGAUGAAACCUUAUCUGAGUGGACAUCUGUGGAUGAUAAAUGCGGAUAUGGGACUGAGACCGGCUCUUAGGAAAAUGCUUGAGUAGCAUUGAUUAAUUGGGGCAGUACUAACACACUGGCUUAUACUUCCUUUUCAGGAGAGAGACACUACACAAAGAGGCAAAUGAAGAGACAAGAAGCUCUUUUAGGUGUAAAAACUGACUUUUUGCACAUGUUGGUACAUGGUGUAUAAAUGACCAAUAAAAGACUCCUGGAUA